UGGGGAAUAUUGGACAAUGGACCAAAAGUCUGAUCCAGCAAUUCUGUGUGCACGAUGACGUUUUUCGGAAUGUAAAGUGCUUUCAGUUGGGAAGAAAAAAAUGACGGUACCAACAGAAGAAGUGACGGCUAAAUACGUGCCGGCAGCCGCGGUAAUACGUAUGUCACAAGCGUUAUCCGGAUUUAUUGGGCGUAAAGCGCGUCUAGGUUGUUAUGUAAGUCUGAUGUGAAAAUGCAGGGCUCAACUCUGUAUUGCGUUGGAAACUGCAUGACUAGAGUACUGGAGAGGUAAGCGGAACUACAAGUGUAGAGGUGAAAUUCGUAGAUAUUUGUAGGAAUGCCGAUGGGGAAGCCAGCUUACUGGACAGAUACUGACGCUAAAGCGCGAAAGCGUGGGUAGCAAACAGGAUUAGAUACCCUGGUAGUCCACGCCGUAAACGAUGAUUACUAGGUGUUGGGGGUCGAACCUCAGCGCCCAAGCUAACGCGAUAAGUAAUCCGCCUGGGGAGUACGUACGCAAGUAUGA
Molecule: ribosomal RNA, 525 nt
Filed under: uncultured bacterium
Lineage: Bacteria
Description: bacterial SSU rRNA
Rfam family: Bacterial small subunit ribosomal RNA
Source: RNAcentral